RNAcentral lists this ribosomal RNA (86 nucleotides) under Vibrio cholerae. RNAcentral's name for it is "partial 16S ribosomal RNA". It matches the Rfam family "Bacterial small subunit ribosomal RNA", at positions 1453 to 1533 of the family's 1533-position model. Lineage: Bacteria; Pseudomonadati; Pseudomonadota; Gammaproteobacteria; Vibrionales; Vibrionaceae. The record is from RNAcentral.
CUUGCCACUUUGUGGUUCAUGACUGGGGUGAAGUCGUAACAAGGUAGCGCUAGGGGAACCUGGCGCUGGAUCACCUCCUUACACGA